RNAcentral lists this RNase P RNA (392 nucleotides) under Chrysosporum bergii ANA360D. RNAcentral's name for it is "RNase P RNA component class A". It matches the Rfam family "Bacterial RNase P class A". From Rfam's summary of the family: Ribonuclease P (RNase P) is a ubiquitous endoribonuclease, found in archaea, bacteria and eukarya as well as chloroplasts and mitochondria. Its best characterised activity is the generation of mature 5'-ends of tRNAs by cleaving the 5'-leader elements of precursor-tRNAs. Lineage: Bacteria; Bacillati; Cyanobacteriota; Cyanophyceae; Nostocales; Nodulariaceae. The record is from RNAcentral.
AGAGUAGGCGCAGGCGGUUGCAGAUCAGUCAAGGUGACUGGUUUGAGGAAAGUCCGGGCUCCCUAAAGACCAGACUUGCUGGGUAACGCCCAGUGCGAGCGAUCGCGAGGAUAGUGCCACAGAAAAAUACCGCCAUUUUCCAGUCGCUUUGACUGAAAAAUGGUAAGGGUGCAAAGGUGCGGUAAGAGCGCACCAGCACAACCGAGAGGUUGUGGCUCGGUAAACCCCGGUUGGGAGCAAGGCCACAAGAAACUACGGUUGGUCUUUUACCAGUUUCGUAAAAUAGAGCCGCUAGAGGCGUUUGGUAACAAACGUCCCAGAUAGAUAACUGCCCUCAAAGGUGUUUUAAACACUCUCUGAGAACAGAACCCGGCUUAUGUCCGACUCUCUCC